GGUUAUAUAAAUUGUUAAUUUAGUUUGUUGUAAGUUGUUUAAAGUUAAAAAAUCAAUUAUAUGUUAAUGAAAGUAAUGAUUAGAUAAAUUUUUUUGUAGACGAUAGAGAAUAGUACUGAAGGGGAAAGUAUAAGGGUAAAAAUUUUUAUAGUAGAUAUUAAGUAUUGUACCUUGUGUAUUAGGGGGAGUCAAAAUAAAUUAAAUAAUGUUAAUAAUCCCGAAACAAAAAUAGCUAGUUUAACAAAAAGUUUUUAUAACAUAAAAAUUUUUAAUGUUAAACUAAAGAUGAAAUGUUAUACGAGUUUUGUUAUAUCUGGUUUUCUAAGAAAUAAAUAUAAUUUAAACUUUUAAAGUUAUUUAAAAAGGUUAAAAGGUUAAGAAUAGGAGGGGUAAGCUUCUUAUUCUAUAAAAUUUAAUUAAUAAAUUAAUUAAAGAAAAUGAACUGUCCUAGGCUUAAAGGUAGCCAUGGUAAAAAAGUGUUUUAACUAAAAAUGGUUCGUAAGUUAUUUAUUUAAUUUUUCUUUGGUAUUAGAAUAUUGUUAUGAAUAUAAUUUAUCAAGUUAUUAUGAGUUUAUUAGUAAUAGAUAUUAAUGUUUUAUAUUAACAUUAAAAUUGAGUUAAAGAUUUAAUAAUGUUUAGGUAUAAUAAAGGAACUCGGCAAAUAUUUUUCUUUGCCUGUUUAUCAAAAACAUGUCUAUUUGGAGGUAUAAAUAGUCUGGCCUGCUCACUGACACAUAGAGUUUAAGAGCCGCGGUAUUUUGACCGUGCAAAGGUAGCAUAAUCAUUAGUUUCUUAAUUAGGAACUUGUAUGAAUGGUCGGACAAAAGAAAAGCUGUCUCUGUUGUAAAGAUAGAAAUUAACUUUUAAGUGAAAAGGCUUAAAUUUUUCAAGGGGACGAUAAGACCCUAUAAAGCUUUAUAUUUCGUUUAAAUUUUAUUGAAUUAUAUAAAUAAAAAUUUAAUUUAAUCAUUAUAUUGUGUUGGGGCGACAUAGGUAUAAUUUAUAUUAACUGCUUGAUAAGAAAACAAAUAAUAAAUGAUUUAUAAAAAUGAUCCUUUUUAAAGAUUUAAGAUUAAGUUACUUUAGGGAUAACAGCGUUAUUUUUUUUGAGAGUUCAUAUCGAAAAAAAAGUUUGCGACCUCGAUGUUGAAUUAAAAUAUCUUUAUAGUGUAGCCGUUAUAAAAGAAGGUCUGUUCGACCUUUAAAUUUUUACAUGAUUUGAGUUCAGACCGGCGUAAGCCAGGUUGGUUUCUAUCUCUUGAUAAUAAAAGAUUAUUUUAGUACGAAAGGAUUGAGUAAUUGAAAAUUUUUUAUAAAGUGGAUU
Molecule: ribosomal RNA, 1324 nt
Filed under: Pseudocarcinus gigas
Lineage: Eukaryota; Metazoa; Arthropoda; Malacostraca; Decapoda; Eriphiidae
Description: large subunit ribosomal RNA
Rfam family: Archaeal large subunit ribosomal RNA (bases 589-1324)
Source: RNAcentral